AAACAUCUUCGGGUUGUGAGGUUAAGCGACUAAGCGUACACGGUGGAUGUCCUGGCAGUCAGAGGCGAUGAAGGACGUGCUAAUCUGCGAUAAGCGUCGGUAAGGUGAUAUGAACCGUUAUAACCGGCGAUUUCCGAAUGGGGAAACCCAGUGUGUUUCGACACACUAUCAUUAACUGAAUCCAUAGGUUAAUGAGGCGAACCGGGGGAACUGAAACAUCUAAGUACCCCGAGGAAAAGAAAUCAACCGAGAUUCCCCCAGUAGCGGCGAGCGAACGGGGAGCAGCCCAGAGCCUGAAUCAGUGUGUGUGUUAGUGGAAGCGUCUGG
This 327-nucleotide ribosomal RNA is filed under the name Escherichia coli 1-250-04_S3_C2. RNAcentral describes it as "partial 16S ribosomal RNA". It matches the Rfam family "Bacterial large subunit ribosomal RNA", at positions 1 to 313 of the family's 2925-position model. The record is from RNAcentral. Lineage: Bacteria; Pseudomonadati; Pseudomonadota; Gammaproteobacteria; Enterobacterales; Enterobacteriaceae.